GAUGAACGCUGGCGGCGUGCUUAACACAUGCAAGCCGAACGAAGCAUUUAGAACAGAUUACUUCGGUUUGAAGUUCUUUAUGACUGAGUGGCGGACGGGUGAGUAACGCGUGGGUAACCUGCCUUGUACUGGGGGAUAGCAGCUGGAAACGGCUGGUAAUACCGCAUAAGCGCACAAUGUUGCAUGACAUGGUGUGAAAAACUCCGGUGGUAUAAGAUGGACCCGCGUCUGAUUAGCUAGUUGGUGAGAUAACAGCCCACCAAGGCGACGAUCAGUAGCCGACCUGAGAGGGUGACCGGCCACAUUGGGACUGAGACACGGCCCAGACUCCUACGGGAGGCAGCAGUGGGGAAUAUUGCACAAUGGAGGAAACUCUGAUGCAGCGACGCCGCGUGAGUGAAGAAGUAAUUCGUUAUGUAAAGCUCUAUCAGCAGGGAAGAUAGUGACGGUACCUGACUAAGAAGCUCCGGCUAAAUACGUG
This 481-nucleotide ribosomal RNA is filed under the name uncultured bacterium. Its description in RNAcentral is "partial 16S ribosomal RNA". It matches the Rfam family "Bacterial small subunit ribosomal RNA", at positions 28 to 507 of the family's 1533-position model. The record is from RNAcentral.